RNAcentral lists this long non-coding RNA (386 nucleotides) under Ananas comosus (pineapple). RNAcentral's name for it is "long non-coding RNA (ACOM_LNC017952)". The record is from RNAcentral. Lineage: Eukaryota; Viridiplantae; Streptophyta; Magnoliopsida; Poales; Bromeliaceae.
UCGAAGAGAGAGAAACCUACCGAUGAUGAGUGUGAGAGAGGAGCAUAGAUGUUAGAGAGAGAGAGCGGCAGAGACAGCGCGUUGGAGAGAGAGGGGGAGAGAGAGGGGGGUGAUCGGUUCAGGAGAGAGAGGGAUGUAGAGAGACGGUGCGCAAGAGAGAGAGAAGGAUAGAGAGGGGCAUUCGGUUGAGGAGGGAGAGAGAGGGAGCAGCAUUCAAUCUAGGGAAAAAGGUCUGGGGAGAGAGGGUGGGGCGUUCGGUUUAGGAGGGUAGAGAGAGUAGUAGAGAGGAGGAGAGAGAGAAGGAGGCAGAGAGACAGUAAAAGAGAGAGAAGGAGAGAGAGGUGCGGUCGGUUCAGGGAAAAGGGUUGGGGGAGAAAGGGUGGGAA